UACGAAGGGGGCUAGCGUUGUUCGGAAUUACUGGGCGUAAAGCGCACGUAGGCGGACUUUUAAGUCAGGAGUGAAAUCCCGGGGCUCAACCUCGGAACUGCAUUUGAAACUGGAGGUCUUGAGAUCGAGAGAGGUUAGCGGAAUACCGAGUGUAGAGGUGAAAUUCGUAGAUAUUCGGUGGAACACCAGUGGCGAAGGCGGCUAACUGGAUUGAUACUGACGCUGAGGUGCGAAAGCGUGGGGAGCAAACAGG
Molecule: ribosomal RNA, 253 nt
Filed under: uncultured bacterium
Lineage: Bacteria
Description: partial 16S ribosomal RNA
Rfam family: Bacterial small subunit ribosomal RNA
Source: RNAcentral